GACAGAGGUGCCAAGCGUUAGGCGGAAUCACUGGGCUUAAAGCGUGUGUAGGCGGGUCGUUAAGUACCUUGUGAAAUCCCCCGGCUCAACCGGGGAACGGCUGGGUAUACUGGCGAUCUUGAGCCACCUAGGGGCAGUCGGAACAAGUGGUGGAGCGGUGAAAUGCGUAGAUAUCACUUGGAACGCCAAUGGUGAAAACAGACUGCUGGGGGUGUGCUGACGCUGGAGACACGAAAGCCAGGGGAGCAAACGGG
This 254-nucleotide ribosomal RNA is filed under the name uncultured bacterium. RNAcentral's name for it is "partial 16S ribosomal RNA". It matches the Rfam family "Bacterial small subunit ribosomal RNA", at positions 524 to 776 of the family's 1533-position model. The record is from RNAcentral.